RNAcentral lists this microRNA (24 nucleotides) under Gallus gallus (chicken). Its description in RNAcentral is "gga-miR-7459-5p". The record is from miRBase by way of RNAcentral. Lineage: Eukaryota; Metazoa; Chordata; Aves; Galliformes; Phasianidae.
GGCUUUGAGACAGUCUUUCUCAGU